UAACAGAUGUCUGAUGUUUGGUGUGCUUC
RNAcentral lists this non-coding RNA (29 nucleotides) under Mus musculus (house mouse). Lineage: Eukaryota; Metazoa; Chordata; Mammalia; Rodentia; Muridae. The record is from RNAcentral.